AAGGAGAAGGCAAUCGGUGUUUGAGACCUUCAUGAAGAUGUAGAAGAAUAAGAAUAAAAGCCCAAUGCGAGGAUGAUUUCAAGUUUCUACGUUACCAUUUCUACAUCUAAAUUGACUUUAGCUCCUGAGUUCCAUGUCUAUGGGGUUUGUACUGUUUUACGUACCAUGCAGUACAUGCUUGUAAGGUUUUCUGUCCUGUUGGCAAGCCGCAGGUCCAUAUAAUAAAUGAAUACUAUUUAUAUUACGACACUUUUCUCUCUUUCUCUUAUAUUUUGUCUUUAAUAUUGUUGAUCAUUUUUUUUUUUUAUCAAAAGUAUCAAAUGCUUAGGCAAUUUGGUCUAAUGCUAAUUGUUUUACAUUUAUUUUUCACCUACAUCCCUUUUCAACUCAAAGGAUGCUACAGUUUGUGAUCAUUGUUUAAGACCGAAGCAUGGUACUAAUAAAUAUCUCAUUGAAAGUCAAGGAAACUAACAUUAUGAAAAGUGUAAAUCUUGAUUUGUGAAACUAUUUAUUCGUGGAAUUUAGAGAUACAAAACUCAAAUUGUGACGGUGUUGUUGCUAAAUUAUUUUUUUUUUAUAAUAAAACACAGUUCAUUCAAGGAUUACUGGAAAUCGUCCAGCACAAUUGAGAUACAUUGUUGCCCAGGUGGCAGAUAAAUAUGCACUAAAAUUAUAGAUAUGCAAUUUAACAAAUACAUAAGAUUUGAGAAAUUAAGGACAAAUCUAAAAAGGACCAUAAAUUUGAAAAACAUUUCAUCCUAGAAUAAGUCGCUGCAACUCUCUUUGUGCAUGCUGUAAUCGUCAGAUCUACUAAUCAACAGUUGUAAGGUCCAGUAAAGAUGGUGAGAUCUGCCGAGAUUGAUCCAAAUCUGAAAUAUUCCCUCAGAUCUGCUAUCCAAUUGGUUCAAACUCAAUACUGAAAGUGAAAUCUGAUGAGAAGACUGAAAAAAUUGUAGAUCUAACAUAUAGAUCUAAAAAAACUCCAAGAUUUGAAAAAGUAAAGAAACAAAACUAAAUAAAACUCUCAUUAAGAUAGUUUAGGAGAGACUAAAACUCUCAAUAGGACACCCUAGGAGAGAAGAAAACUCUCACUAGGAUAACCUAUGAGAGACUUUAUUGAAUGAAAGGAAAAGCAAAGGACAAAGGAAGAAGAAGGGAGACCUUGGCUUAAGGCCAAGGUCUCCCUCCUAUGGAGGAGGAAGGGUAGAGGAGGAAGCCUAGAGAGAAGGAAGAGAAUCCCUCCGCUAGAGGGAAGGAAGAGCCUCUGAGAGGGUACCCGUGUUGUUGCUAAAUUAUUAAGGACAUUAUCACCAUUACUUUUCCCUUACUAGUUUCAACUGCAAUGAUCUCAAUCUUUUUGUGACUAAUUCUUUUCUUAAUAAUUUAUAAAUACAAAACUCACAAAGAAUAUGUGACUUAUUCUUUCCUUUCGUCUUCUAAAGAAAAUGCCAACUGUUAGUUUAUCAAGGGAAAAAGGAUCGACAUCAGUUGUUAUUGAAACUAGUAAGGAAUAAAUAAUGGUGAUAAUGUCCUUAAUAAUUUAACAACAGCACCAUCAGAAUUUGAGCUUUGUAUCUAUAAAUUCCACGAAUAAAUAGUUUCAUCAAAUCAAGAUUUACACUUUUCAUAAUGUUAAGUUUCCUUGACUUUCAAUGAGAUAUUUAUUAGUAUCAUGCUUCGGUCGUAAACAACGAUCACAAACGAUAGCAUCCUUUGAGUUGAAAAGGGUAGUGAAAAAGAGAAGUAAAAAAUACAAUUAGCAUUCCCUCAAAUUGUAGAAAGUUAGGUAGCAUUAUAGACAAGUUGAUAGCCGUAAUUAUACUAAAAAUCAGGCAAAAGCCAGCAAUUUUACAUUUCAAAAUUCACCUAUUCAAUAACUAAUUCGAUGGCUUGCUACAUGGUCAAAAUUCACCACAUAUCCCUUUCCUCAAUCAGGGGCUUCUACAAUUACCAGUUCCAAUUGUAUGGUAUAGUGUAAAUAUCAACAAAUUAGAUGUAGACACUAAUAUAAUAAAUAUGGAUGCUAAGGCAACAACAUACAAAAACAUAAUAAAUUUUGGCAUUCCUUAAAAAAUUACGUCCCCAAAUCAAUCUCAUACACCCAAUUUCUAAUUUAUUUAACUCAUUCCGUCUAUUAACUGCACCAUACAAUCCAACCUGCAAUUGCAUGAACCCCAAUCUCGCUUCCUAGUCCACCAUUUUUCUCUAGGUAAUAAUCUCCCUUCUAAUUUCUUCACAAAAUGCACCUUUCAUCACCUCCAAUAGCGUCGACAUGAUCUUUACCCUAGAAGACUAUUCACCGACUCCCAAUUGACGUCAGAAAAUCUAAGAGUAAUUCUACUUUACCCUAAGAUUGAUAUCAACUAGACAAUGACAAUUUAGAAUUAUUACACGCCUCUUCUUAAUAGGAAAAAGAAAUAGAGAAGAAAGUCAGGCCAGGUCUAAUUUCUUUUCGAAGGCAAUACAACAUUACGAAAUCAAGCAUUCAUUCAUACAAAUAUUUCAUAGUCACCGGUUUGCUGAGUAGAAAAGUUUAUACAAAAACUUAAUAUUAUAUUGUUUAAGAGUUAACAAUUUAGAGCUUAAUCUCCUUGUACUUUGGACUAAACUCGAACGUGAAAGGAAAUCCCAAAACCAUAUUGGGCAUGAAUUCACACUUAAAUAGACCCAAAAAAAGAUGGCGACUGGUGAAAGGCAGUGGAGACUGGUGGUGAGAUUUGAGGAAUAGAAGCAGACGGAAAAGCCACAAAUUUUUGCCGAAAGAGGGUCACUUUCAUGGUUAAUUUUGCUACUCUCUACUUGUACUUGACCAAUGACAGGUUGUCAGUCUGUGCAAUAAUAAAAACCUGUUCAAACUAAAAGUAAUUUCUGUAGAUAGUGGUAAGCAGGGUCGAAUCCACAGGGAUUAGGUGUAACUGUUUCUUUUCAAAUUCACAAUAACAAAGGGGGUGUUUUUAUGCAGAAUGUGACAAUCAAAGAAAUUCAAUUAAAAGUAAAAUAAUAAAAAUAAAAUAGCCAACUAGAAAUUAAAUAACAAUUUACUAAAAUCAAAUGAGUGAUAAUUAAGGAUCUAGCCAAGGAAUAACUUCAGCAGUGGUUCACCUAAUUGAUCAUUGGAACAAAGGCAAUUCCAAUUAUUUACUAAUAAAUAGGUUAUAACUGCCAAACAAGCGAUGACAGUCAAUCACUCCUUACUGUGUCGGUGAUUAAGGUACGCCCGUUAAUCACUGCCCUAAUUGAGAAAUAAUCUUAGGUACGCCCGUAAGAUUUAAUUUUCCAAUUGCCUUACAUAUUAGAGGAGUGUCAGGAACAAGGAAAUAGAAUGGGACGUCGUUUAAUGCAAAGGGUUGUGCGUUUAAGGCCUUAGAAGCAAUACUACGUCGUUCUAAUAACAUAGGCGGUGCUGGUGUGAUAGGCCAAGUUAGUUGAGGGUCAAUUACAUAAAUAGCCUUCUGUAACAGAUUUUUGGUUAUGUUUUUGAAUGAAAAGUAUCUCGCUGCUUUCUCUCUCUUGUCUGUUAUUUCCCUCCCUUUUCUUCUUUCUCUCUUCCCUCUUCUUAAUCUUGUUUCUUUCUUCUGAUUCUUCCCCCAAAUUCAAUACAAUUCCAGAAAUUAACCUGCAAGUCUGACAUUUGGUAUCAGAGCGGUCGAUUCUUGGCCGCGAAGGUAUCAGAAAUGGCUGAGAGCACGCGAUUCAGGACACUGGAGGAGCAACUCAAGAAGCAGGAGAAUCGGUUGCAAGAACUGGCGGAAUCCAUGGCUGCACUGCAGAGUACGAGUUCCGAGGAGUUGCGGCAUAAGCUACAGGCGGAAAUGGAGCAGAACAAUGCAAAAUUGGACGCGGUGGUGGGAAGUCUGGACCAGAAGUUCAAUAAAAUGGAACAGAGACUCAGUACAGUGUUGAAGCUGCUGAUGAAGGAGAAAGGUCUCCCUGAUGUCGAAGGAGGAAUUUCUGAUCCAAUCUUGCCGACUCCUCCAUCUCAUCUGAGGUUAGCAUCCUCAGUCGAAGGGAUUGGGCACCAACAAGAGUACAGAGGUAGGCAAUUCACUCCUAAUGUACCUCGAUUAGAACUGCCAAUGUUUAACUCUGGAAACCCUAGGGAAUGGACCAGGAAAUGCCAGAAAUAUUUUUUGAACUAUCAGAUAGCAGAGAGUCAAAAGGUAGAGGUAGCAGAGAUGUUUUUGGAAGGUAGAGCUGACAAUUGGUUUCAAGGAGUGAAAUUGGUGAGGCCAGGGUUGUCUUGGGGGGAAUUUAGUGAACUUUUGUGUGAAAGAUUUUCUGGAAGUAGUUCUCGUGACAUUGUGGAGGAAUUUAACAAGUUACAGCAGAAAGGAACUGUUGAGGAAUAUGAGGAGAAAUUUGAAGAACUAAAAGCUCUAAUGCUGAUGAAAACCCCCAGGUUGGAUGAACUUUACUUUGUUUCCAGUUUUAUUAGUGGCCUCAGGGAAGAAAUUAGACCUAUGGUGAAGAUGUUUAAGCCUCAAACACUGAUGAAGGCCUUUGAAGUUGCGGAGUUGCAGGAGUGUUCCCUGGAAAUCCAAUCGAAACAAAACAGAACUUCAAGGAGGACAGCAAUGGAACCCAAGUUUGGAAUGUAUAAGGGCACUACGAGUGAUUAGGGUCGCCAAAAUUCAUAUAAGUUGCCUGGAGUCACUCCUGUCUCCAGGAGGACUAAUGCAGUACACAAGGAAUUUAGUAAGAUAUCAGCGGAGGAAAUGCAGUAUAAGCGUAAGCACAGCCUGUGCUAUAGGUGUGGAGAGAAGUUUGGAAUAGGUCAUCAGUGUAAGAAAGGAAGUCUGAACUGUGUGAGCACUGAGGAAGAGGAGGACACUGAAUUUGAGGAUGCGGAAGGGGAACAGGAUGAGUUAACAGGAAGGGUCGGGGAACUUGCAGAAGUCUCUUUGAAUGCUUUAUCUGGUGCCAUAAGGAGGAAAUCCAUCCUGUUGAUAGGGAACUUAGGGGGGCUUCCAGUCAAAAUUUUGGUGGACACAGGCAGUUCUAACAGCUUCAUUCACCACAGGAUUGUCAACCUACUGCAUCUACCAUAUCAGGCAGUCAGUCCAUUUACUGUGACUCUAGCAGAUGGAACUGACAUUACCAGUGGAGCCAUCAGUCCCAGCGUGUCUUGGUUAAUUCAGGACUAUCAAUUCCAAUUUGACUUAAAAGUAAUGGAAUUAGGGGGAUGGGAUAUAAUUCUGGGGGUGGACUGGAUGUGCCAGUAUAGUCCCAUUACAUUUGAUUUCCACUCUCUUAGCAUUGCCCUUAGUGAUAGGGGUUCUUUACUACACCUCCAAGGACUUGUGAAGCAACCUACUAUGGAACUGGUGAGGGGCAGGGAUCUCAGCUCGUUUAUACAGGAGAAGCAAAGAAACUGUGCAGCCAUGCAUGCUGAUAGGGCCAGGGAAACAGGAGAGCAGCUUCCAAAAGCUAUAGAAAGGAUCCUGGAACAGCACUCUCAGGUUUUCUCCACCCCAACAGGAUUACCCCCAGAGAGGGAAUUGGACCAUCAGAUCAACCUCAAACCAGGAGCUGAACCCUUCAAGCUCAAACCUUACAGGUACCCCCACUCACAUAAAGCAGAAAUUGAAAAAAAAGUUGCUGAGAUGCUCACUAAUGGAAUUGUUAUACAUAGCACAAGCCCCUAUGCCUCCCCUGUAUUGUUAGUAAAGAAAAAGGAUAACUCCUGGAGAUUAUGCAUAGAUUACAGGAAGCUGAACGAGCUGACUAUAAAGGAUAAGUUCCCUAUUCCCAACAUAGAUGAACUAUUGGAUGAAUUACAUGGAACCAGAUACAUGUCCAAACUGGAUCUCAGAGCUGGUUACCAUCAGUUGAGGGUGAAAGCUGUUGAUACCCCUAAGACUGCCUUCCAGACACACCAUGGCCACUUUGAAUUCUUAGUGAUGCCUUUUGGACUCACAAACGCGCCAGCUACAUUUCAGUCCUUGAUGAACAGAAUAUUUCAGCCAUAUCUCAGAAAGUUUGUCCUAGUCUUCUUUGACUACAUAUUAGUGUACAGCCCCACACUAGAGAUGCAUGCACAGCAUCUACAGAUUGUGCUCAAUAUUUUAGAAGAAAAUCAGCUGUAUUACAAGAGGUCAAAGUGCUCUUUUGCCCAGUCCUCAAUUGAAUACUUGGGGCACGUGAUCUCAGAGGCAGGAGUGAGUAUGGAUGUGGCUAAGGUGGAGUGUAUCAAGUCCUGGUCUGUUCCUAGUACAGUCAAGGAGCUGAGAGGGUUUUUGGGAUUAAUUGGUUACUACAGGAGAUUCAUUAAAGGCUAUGGAGUGAUUAGCAAACCCUUGACUGUAUUGUUGAAAAAGGAAGGUUUUGCAUGGAACCAUGAAGCUCAAAUGGCCUUUGAAGAUUUGAAAAAGGUUAUGACCACAGCCCCAGUGCUGAGCAUGCCUAAUUUCGAACUUCCUUUUGUCAUAGAGACUGAUGCCUGUGGAAUAGGUAUUGGAGCAGUGUUGAUGCAGCAAGGACAUCCUAUUGCUUUCCUUAGCAAGGCAUUAUCAGUUCAGAAUUUGGGGUUAUCAGUCUAUGAAAAAGAGCUUUUUGCCUUAGUGCUAGCUGUAACUAAGUGGAGGCAUUACCUGGUGGGUCAUCACUUCAUUAUCAGGACAGAUCACCAAGCUCUCAAACAUUUGAUAGAGCAAAGGCUUACUCAUCCACUCCAGCACAAGUGGCUAACUAAGCUACUUGGUUUGGACUAUGAAAUACAGUAUAAAAAGGGUGCAGACAAUGGGGUGGCAGACGCCCUCUCCAGGAGAAGGAUUGAGGGAAACACUGUUGACUGUGGAGAGACUGGGCAUCAGACCUGCGCCAUAACCUCAGCUCAGCCUAGUUGGAUGCAGGAAAUGCUAGAAAGCUACAUUGGAGAUGCAGAGGCUCAACAGAAGUUAUCUGAGCUAUUGCUGGAUCCCAAUGCAGAUCCAGAUUAUCAGUUAAAGAAUGGGAUGCUCAAGUUUAAAGGGCGGCUGUACAUAGGAUCUGCUAACAACAUUAGGACCAAGGUGGUCAGAGCAUUGCAUGACUCAGCCCUUGGGGGGCACUCAGGUCCUGGAAUCCGUAAGGAUGUCCUUCAAUAUGUGAGAUCUUGUGAUGUGUGUCAAAGGAACAAACAUGAAAAUGUUCCUUAUCCUGGGUUGCUGCAACCAAUUCCUGUACCUCAGCAGGCUUGGUCACACCUCACCAUGGAUUUUAUUGAGCAACUACCCCCAUCCCAUGGAUUUGAUACCAUUUUGGUGGUGGUGGAUAGGUUAACCAAGUUCAGCCACUUCAUUCGACUCACUCACCCUUUUUCUGCACAGCAGGUAGCACAGCUUUUCCUUGACAACAUAUACAAGCUGCAUGGACUUCCUGAGACCAUUAUAACUGACAGGGACAUAAUCUUUCUUAGUAAGUUUUGGCAAGAGUUAUUUGGUAUGGUAGGGGUAAAGCUGCACUACAGUUCAUCGUAUCACCCUCAAUCAGAUGGUCAAAGUGAAAGGGUCAAUCAGUGUUUGGAAAACUAUCUCAGGUGUAUGUGCAGUGAGCAUCCUUCUCACUGGAGCAGUUGGCUUCCUACAGCUGAGUUAUGGUACAACACUAACUUCCAUACUAGCUUGCAGGUGACACCAUUCGAAGCACUAUACGGGUAUAAACCAAAUCACCUUCCCUUAGGACCUUUUCAUGAUAGCCUGGUACCUGCUGCUGGUAACAUGGUGCAGACUAGGCUCCAAAUUCUAUCCCUCAUCAAAGAGAAUCUAGCCACCGCCCAGAAUCGAAUGAAAAUGUUUACUGAUAAGCACAGGACUGAACGUGUCUUCCAAGUGGGGGAUUGGGUAUUUCUCAAGCUGCAACCUUACAGGCAACAAUCAGUGGCCUUACGGAAGAAUUUGAAGUUGGCUGCCAAAUACUUUGGACCUUUCCAGAUCCUUGCGAGAGUAGGGGAAGUCGCCUACAGACUUAAGUUGCCAGAGGGAGCUCGAGUUCAUUCCGUGUUCCAUGUGUCCUUACUUAAAAGGAAAGUGGGAGUUACACAGCAGGUAAAGCCCAGCUUGCCAGAAGUAGACGCAUCAGACCAAUGUUUGCUGAAGCCAGAGAAGAUUCUCCAGAGGCGUGUUAUCAUACGAGCUGCCAAACCAAUCAUCCAGUACCUGGUGAAGUGGAACAACUUACCAGAAUCCGAAGCAUCAUGGGAGGAUAAAAGCUUCAUUGACAGACAAUUUCCGGAAUUUCAAGCUUGAGGACAAGCUUUGCUUAAGGGGAAGAGAUUGUCAGGAACAAGGAAAUAGAAUGGGACGUCGUUUAAUGCAAAGGGUUGUGCGUUUAAGGCCUUAGAAGCAAUACUACGUCAUUCUAAUAACAUAGGCGGUGCUGGUGUGAUAGGCCAAGUUAGUUGAGGGUCAAUUACAUAAAUAGCCUUCUGUAACAGAUUUUUGGUUAUGUUUUUGAAUGAAAAGUAUCUCGCUGCUUUCUCUCUCUUGUCUGUUAUUUCCCUCCCUUUUCUUCUUUCUCUCUUCCCUCUUCUUAAUCUUGUUUCUUUCUUCUGAUUCUUCCCCCAAAUUCAAUACAAUUCCAGAAAUUAACCUGCAGAUCUGACAAGGAGCCCUAUUCUAACCAAAUAACACACUACCAGGGUUAUUUUAGGUUAGCCCGCGUAUUCCCCUGACAUGAAUCCAAUCAUGCCAGUUAUCACUAUUUUGAAACAAUUAAACAAUUACGGAUUUAACGUCCCAAUUGACAAUAGAUUAUCAAAUUAACUAAUUAUCCGGAUCCAAAACAAUCAAUUAAUUAAAUAAUCAUAAGCACUGUAAUCAGGGAAUAUUUGAAUACCAAUAAAUAAAAAGAAAGGACAAAAUUAAAUCGAUUUCACAAUUUUUAAACGAACCACAACCUCAGUUGUUCCUCGGCUAGAUUGAGAAAAUUAGCUCAUGUUCGAUGCGAAAAAUCCACAAGAAAUUGUUAAGAGAGCCGCGGCCAUUGUCCCUUGAAAUUGGGGAAAUUCAAUUCGGUUGAACUACGAAAGAAAAGUAAGCUACAGAGAGUUGCCGAUUGGGUUUUGCUUGUCCCUAACAUGCGAGGGAGCAAAGCCACGAAAGGACGACAAAGGUCAAAAAGAAAGGCUACAGAGCAUGUUCCAGGUCUUUUUGUGCUCUCCACAUCCGAGCCAACGAAAAGAAAUAAAAAACUACCAGGAGCUAAAGGAAAACCGCAAGAAAAGUCAAAGGCUAAAAAAACUUCCUAGUGCUUGUUCUCUGCUUAUCUCUUUAUCUAAUUCUAAGUCCCCGAUUUUUUGCUCCGUGCGGCGGCUCCCCCGGAGAGAAAGGAUUGCAUCCGCUGCCCUCUUCCACCAAUUACCAAAAUGGGCACACCGCUUCUUUUUCAAAAAUGCUCCUGGAUAAACUCUAUCAUCUGGACUUUUUUUCUGUCAAAUUGACAUUUAUUAUUAUAUUUUCGUUCUACUCCCUGAAAUAAAUGUAAAAUAUUAAAAAUGAGUAGAAUCCGACAAUUAAUUCACAUCAGGUCAGAUAAUAAAGAAAAUUAAUAAUAAAAUAAAUAAAUAAAUUGCAACCUAUCAACCAAAUACAACAAUUUCAUGGAGUUUGAUACACAAGCCCAAAUACACGAGAGUGUGUAACCUGAAUUGUUACUUAUACAUUAGUGUGUAAUAGAACGGCAAGCAUUAUGGUGGUCAUUGAGCAACUUGUAGGAGAAAUAGUCCUAUAAGCUGUUCAAUGACCAAUCACAACUUGCUAAUUGGAUGACUAAUAUAGCUCUAGCUGUAAUGUUUUAAUUAAAUUCCAUCACUAACGUUGGGAUGACUUUUUAAUCAAAAAAAAAAAAGCCUUAGUUCAAGCUUUUCCCCUUAUUGUGCAUUUUUUAAAACAUUUGAUAGGCACUGCAAAUCUGUCAUUUUGGACAUUUUAUUAUUAACUAACAAUGAAAGCCGUGGACAUCAACCCAUAUCCAACAAAAUAUUAAAUUAAUAUUAGAAAAAAUUAUUAAGUAAUUGGAAAAAAAAAGAAGAGGCUAAUUUUCAUUGAAACCCACCGACAAACUAUACGCUGCUUUCAAUCAGUUUUAACACGGGAAAAAGAAAAGGCAUGAAAAGCAAAAUUUGUGGGGAUAAUUUCGGAAACCUCCCAUGAAGUUUUUGACUAUUUUACUGGCCUCCCUUCAGAUUUUAAAAAUUGGACUAAUCUUCCUUAAAGUUAAUUAUCUUGUAACAUUUAGAUCCGAUCAAUAAUUUAAAAAAUAAUAUUAUGAGAGAGAAAAUAAUAUGAUUUUAUUAUUGCCCCCAUCUCACCACAUUAUUUAAUUAAUUUAAUAGCAACCCACACAUUAAAGAAAAUGACAGGUCGUCAACCUGUGCAAUAAUAAAAUUAAACCUAAUUGCCAGUUAAAAUGACCAAAACCCAAUUCCAAGUACUGGAGCAGGGACUCUAGGUGUGCAAUGGGUUACUUGAUUCACCCUGUUCCCGAAGAGUUUGCUUGAUCCGAUAUACCCGAAUGGAAUGGUUAUUCCUUUUCACAAAUGAUUAGGAAUUUGUAGACAGGGCAAGUAGGGUCGUAUCCACAGAGACUGGGUAUAUUUGUUUCUUAAGAAAUCCAAAGUAACACAGGGGGUGAUUUUGUAGGAACGACGAUAAUUAAAUAAAUUCAAAUGAGAAAGUAAAAAUAAAUAAUUAACUAGAAAUUAAACCACAAUUUACUGAACUCAGGAUAACAAUAGUUAAAGGCCUCAAUUAAUUAAAAUAAGGAAACAAUCAAAAAUAAAAUAAAGUAGGUAAUUAAAAGUCAAAUGGCAAUCCACUACAAUCAAGGAAAUAUUAACUAAAGAUCUAGCCAAGAAAUAACUUCAGCAAUGGUUCACCUAAUCGAUCAUUGAUGCAAAGCAAUCCCAAUUAUUUACUAAUAAAUAGGUUAUAACUACCAAACAAGCGAUGGCAGUCAACCCCUCCUUACUGUGUCGGUGAUCAAGGUACGCCCGUUAAUCACUGCUCUAAUUGAGAAAUAAUCCUAGGUACGCCCGUAGAAUUUAAUUCCCCAACUGCCUUACGUAUUAGAGGAGCCCUAUUCUACCCAAAUAACACACUACCAGGGUUAUUUUAGAUUAGCCCGCGUAUCCCCCUGACACGAAUCUAAUCGUGCCAGUUGUCACUAAUUUGAGGUAAUUAAACAAUUACGGAUUCAAUACCCCAAUUGACAAUAGAUUAUCAAACCAAUGAAUUAUCCGGAUCCAAGACAAUCAACUAAUUAAAUAAUCAUAAGCACUGCAACCAAGGAAUAUGCGAAUACCAAUAAAUAAAGGAAAAGAUAAAAUUAAAUCGAUCUCACAAUUUACAGGUGACCCAAAGCAUCAGUCGUUUCUUGACUAGAACGAGGGGGUUAGCUCAUAUUGGAUGAACUAAGCCCGCGGGAAAUUCCAGCAAAAGUCACGGCCGUUGUAUGCAUUUCAAGAGCCGCAAUUCGUCAAACACUUGGAAAGCGAAUGUAAGGCACGGGUAACAAUUGAAACUUUCUAAUUGUUCCUAGCAUUCGUAAAGCAAAUUCACUCCAGAAGUACAGUGAGGAAAAGUCAAAGAAAGUGGGCUUCAAUUCCUUGCUCCUGACAUGCGUGGAGACAAGCCAAUGCAAGACUACAAUAAACUAACAAGGAAAAGUCAAGAAUUGGAGCUAAGCUCCCCUGCCAUGCGCAGGAAUCCCAAAAGUAAAAAGUAAAGCUUCAAAGAAAAGUCAACAAUUCUUCCUAAGCUACAGACGGAAGAUCCAGCACAAAAGCCAGCUCCCUUUUUGAUCCCUUUUUCCCCCUUCUUAUUGCGGCGGCUCACCAGGAGAGGAGAGCCCUCCGUCCGUCCUUUCUUCCGGAAAUUACCAAAAUGGGCAUGACAUCUUCUCUUCCAAAAGUGCCCCUGGGACAAGCUUUCUCAUCUGAAUUCUUUUUUUUUCCAAUUUGGCACCUGUUAUCAUAUUUAUAUUCUACUCCCUGAAAUAAACGUCAAAUACUAAAAGUGAGUAGAAUCCAGCAAAUAAAUCCACAUCAAGUCAGGUAAUAGGAGGAAUUAAUAAUAAAAUAAAUGAAUAAAUUGCACCCUAUCAAUUCCCUCCACACCUAAACCAUGCUUGUCCUCAAGCAUAAGAAAAGUAAACGAACACCAAAAUUCGACGAUAGCCAUUGCCCAAUCUCCUAUAUUGCCAAGACAUUCAAGAGAAAAACACAUAUCGAGCAUUGGUGAUUAGAAUCCCAGAAGCAUCCCCCCGGUUAGCCUCUAACCCCCAGAUUCCUUCAAUUUCCAACUUAACUACUCUAAGAAAGAGGAAUGGCACACAACAUUUAUCAGCUAGUGGUCCGAAUAUUCACACAAGUCUUCAUAUCCAAUCCAUAAACCGGCAAGCUUCCCUAUUAUUUAGUCUCUCUUUUUUUCCGUUUUUUUUCAUUUUCAUUCUUCCCCUCUUUUUUUUUUUUUUUUAAAGCAGUAGCAAUCAACACAAAAGACUUAGUCGUUAGCCGUCAGGGCCUUUUGAUGCGAACUCCAACAUUUUUAGAAGGAGGAGCCCGGUUACUCAGCUCCUACCGCUAUACGACCACGCACUCAUAUAAAAUACCACCUUUUGACGCGAGAAUCGACACUUUUAGGUGCCGAUCCCCGGUUACUCAGUAGUAACUUAAUAGCGGAGCACAGUCAAGCUUAUUCUCAGCCAAACAAUGCACAAACGCAAAAUAACAGCACUAACAAUCAAACAUAGGAGCAGCUCGCCUCAUUAUUGUCAAACAUGGAGAACUGGAGUCAAUAUUGGACCAGUUCACAUUAAAAGGCCAUAUUCAUUCCCUACGCCUAGAAAAGUUAACAAAGAAAUCGAAAGAGUCAAACAGUUAAAUAUUCACCAAGGGGAUAUUCAGGACCCAACCACACUAACCCGAUACAUUUUGUAUUUUAAAAACUUGGCAAAAGUAGAUUUGGAGUCAAUGAGUCCACAUCUCAAUUUUAGCCUUCACAUGAAAGGCAAUCACCAAGAAGAAAGAACGGAAAAAUAAGCAACUAGAAAUGAGACUACGAAAAACUACUAAAACUAAAAACUCACUUUUUUUCUUUUUCUCUUUUUUUUUCUUUUUGAAUUUUUUUUUCAUUUUUAUUUUUUUUUAUUUUUUUUAUUUUUUAAACAUUAACUAUAAACAUUAACUACUAAAAACUAAAAACUAAAACUACUAAAAACUAAAAACACUAAAAACUGCUAAAAUGAAAAGCUGAAAACUGAAAACUACUAAAAACGGAGCACACUAGCAUAACUUUAGAUCCCCCCCACACCUAUAGGACACAUUGUCCUCAAUGUGACAAAUAAGAACCAAAAGUGAAGCACAAGUGAGAGGGGAAUCAGCCAAACUUCCCUGAAAUCGGGUCACAGCGGAGGGCGAGGUGGAAAUGGAGGUGCAAAGCCUGUAUGCAUCAGGAACUGUGCCAAAUUCUGUGCUAUGCCGGCGACAUUGGCGUCGACGUUGGUCAUCCGGGCCUGCAAAUCCUGAACCAGCUCCCUGAGAUGCUGCCAAUCAUCGGUCCCAGGUGGUGGAGGUGGCGCAGAAGUAGAGGUAGACGGCCCAGCAGUGUCCGCGGCCGACCCAGGGAAUGAAGAUGGCCCUGCCCGGGCCGAAUGGUGUGCACCCGGGGCUCGAGGUGGUCCCGGACGGGUAAACUGGUGAAAACCAUCUGGCAGACGCUCGACGACCCCCAUUUUCUCUAAGCAAACUACGUCCAAGUGCUCCAUCUCAAAUGCCAAAUGGAGGUCGUGGUCAUCCAGGUUAAGAACUCCCAACUGGGUCGCCAAGUGAGUGAUGUAGGACCCAAGGAUCAGUGGUUUGUUCUUCUUGGUCAAGACCGUCUUGAACUGUGCGGCCAACCAACAUCCCAAGUUCACCUUGAUAUUGUUCUUCAUACUCCAGAGAAAGAAGAAUUCGGGCCGAGAGAGUAUACCGGAGCUGUCCUUGCGCCCCGAGUAGCUAUAAGCUAAGAAUCGCUGAACAUAGCGGGCGCUAGGGUCCUUAAGAAAGGAGCUCCUGGACCGGGAAGGAUCGUAGCGUUGCCUAUCGACGGACAUGUCCUCCCAUACAUCAUGGUAGUGGGAGAGGAAAGGCUCUACGUAGUCACAGGCACUCUCCGCAUACUCCCUAGUCUCAGCAUACUCUCUAGUGAUAAACCCAAAUGCCAGAUUGAAUUGAGUAAUGGAGAAAUUGAAUUCUCGACCCAUGAGCCGGAAAUGAAUGACAUUCGGUGUUUCACCCGUGUAUCUCGUAGGUAAUUCGAACUCAAAGGUGGAGUAAAACUCCCGGAUCAGCUCAACAAAAGCGGGACAAGAAAUAUGGAAAUAUGGGCGCCACCCAAUGGCUGUGAACAUUUGCUCAACCUCCUCCCGUAUACCCAGGGCAGUUAGAGAGAGUCUAUGACAAGACUUACAGGAUAUUAUACGCCUCUCGCAGACCUUAGCGUACCUCUGCCGAUCGGCGGGUCUGGUAAAUGUUAAGUGCCCCCCAAAAUGAACAGGUGCAUCUACCUGAGCACCCCUAUCCCUACCCAAACGGGUUCGAACACUAGAAGAGGAGGGUAGGUUGGUAGGUGAGUUGACAGGAAUAGAGGCUUGUGGAGGGGGUUGAGACUGAGAGGUCCUAGACCUAGAGGAGGAUUUCGGUCUCACCAUUCCCCCCAAAGUAAGUUCAAGGCAACAGAAAAUCCGACAAGUAUAGAAACCAGCAAUUGACAAAGCAAAAAUCUCCCAGUAGUAACCCAGCCAAUAGCAAACAAAAGAGUUCCAGCAAGUAAUCAACAAGCAAUUCAGAAAUAUCUCAACUAAAAUCUCAAGAGAAACCCCAGCGAGUUAUCCAGCAAUUCAAGCAAUAUCCCCAAGCAAUGUGGUGGUCAAAAUGUCAUCUCCAAAUUGAACAAAUAAUCAGAGCAUUGCAACACAUUGAAAAUCUCAAUAAACGGCUCCAGUUGGCCAAGAAAAAUUGCUAACUCAUACUCAGCAAUAGUAGUGCAGCAAAGGGACAGUAACCACGCAAUAAAAACACUUAGCUUGCACUCAAAUGGUCACCCCAAAUAACAACCCAGUAUGAAACCCGCAGGCAGAGUAUUCCUCAAACCGUUAGCCUAAACCCAGUCAACAACCACGGCCAGAAAUAACCCCAUAAAUAGUGCAAUGAGUAAUCCCCAGCAACAUAAUCAGGUGUAAUCAACUGGAGCAAGCAAUUUACAUGGCAUAGAAACCUCCCAAUCAAACAAGUGCAUUAUUCUAGCGCACCCCAAAAUUCCAAGAAAUGGCUCCAGUUGGCCAAUUAAUUUCACAAUGUCACCCAACUCAGGAGAAAUAGCAAUUCCACACAAAAAUAGUCAAACCAGUACCACUGGCGAAAAAUCUUUCAAAUAUGCACAAUUUGCUACCAAAUAUCACCGGCUAACACUGAAAAAUUGAGGGCAAGUGUCAAAUACCUCCACAGGGACUACCCCAGGCGGCAGACAGAGAAGCGGCGUUGAAGCUGGUGGUCGAGCGGGGCGGCGCUCGCGUCGGCGUGCGCAGCGGCGACGGCGCGCGAGGAUGGAGUUUCGGGAGGUUGCGUGCGGGCUUGGCUGAAGACGCGGCGCGCGCUAGGGCUUCGCUGCGGCAGGCGUGCAGCAGGGGAGAAGAAAGAAAAGAGAAAGAAAGAAAGAAAAAGAAAGGAAAGAAAGAACAGAAAAGAAGGAAAAGAAAAAGGAAUUUUUCUUUUUUUUCUUUUUCUUUAGGCUACGGUUUAGAGGACAAAUUUUUCUUCUUCUUGUUUUCUACUUUUUUAUUUUUUUAUUUUUUAGUUUUUAAUUUAUUACUAUUAUUAUCAUAUUUAAUUGAGGAAAAAAAAUGUUUUUUUUUAAAUCCCUACCUUUCCCACGAACGUGACGCGGGCACGUCAAGAGGGCAAGAGAGCUCCCAGAAGUUUCAGAAUUUUCUGAUCGUAAGCGUCCUGCACAUCACCACGCGGGCACGUCAUGAGGACAGGAGAGCUCCCAGAAGUUCAGAAUUUUCUGAUCGUGAGCGCCCUGCACGUCACCACGCGGGCACGUCAUGAGGCCAGGAGAGCUCCCAGAAGUUUGAAGUUUCUGAUUCCUGCCCGUCAUCACGCGGGCGCGUCAUGACUGAAGGUCACCUACAAAUCAGCAAAAACGAAAACUAACACCCAAAAUCAGUCAAAUUCAGGGAAAGCAGAUUUAAACUAUGCUACAAAACCAACAAACAAUUAAAAGAAAUAAUUAGGUUGCCUCCCAAUGAGCGCCUUUCUUUAAUGUCUUUGGCUAGACAUGGUAAAGUGUCACUGAUUAGGACACGGUGGUGCGUCAAGCCUUAUUGUCUCCACCUCUCUACCUGAAAAUCCUUCGUAAUAAUAUUUGAGACGGUGUCCAUUCACCACAAAUUUGUUGUCUGUCUUAGCACUCUGGAUCUCAACUGCACCAUAGGGAAAAACAUGAGUAACAAUGAAAGGUCCAAUCCAACGGGAACGUAGCUUACCUGGGAAUAGCUUGAGCCUGGAUUGGUACAGGAGGACCUUCUGACCAACUUCAAAUGUUUUUCUUGAAAUUUGUUGGUCAUGAAAUGCCCGGCUUUUCUCCUUAUAUAUCAAGGCGUUUUCGUAUGCUUCGUUCCGGAUCUCCUCCAAUUCUUGCAAAUCCAACUUCCGUUGAGCACCGGCCUCCUCUAAAUUCAUAUUGCAGUGCUUUAUCGCCCAAAAAGCCUUGUGCUCGAACUCCACUGGAAGGUGACACGGCUUCCCAAAUACCAACCUGUACGGUGACAUCCCAAUAGGAGUCUUGUACGCCGUCCGAUAGGCCCAGAGUGCGUCUUCCAACCUUUGGCUCCAGUCUUUUCUAUCAGGGCGCACCAUUUUCUCUAAAAUGGACUUAAUCUCCCGAUUCGACACCUCCGCUUGACCAUUGGUCUGAGGGUGGUAUGACGUUGAGACCCUGUGGAGUACACCAUACUUGCGAAACAACGCAGCUAUGGUUUUGUUGCAAAAGUACGUUCCCCUAUCACUGACAAUAGCUCUAGGCAUUCCAAACCGCACAAAGAUAUUAGACCUGAUAAAAUCUGCAACUACUCUCGAAUCAUUAGUUCGAGUGGCCUUAGCCUCCACCCAUUUAGACACAUAAUCAACUGCCAGCAAAAUAUAUAAAAAACCAAAUGAAGUAGGAAAAGGCCCCAUGAAAUCUAUACCCCAGACAUCAAAAAUUUCAACAAAAAUCAACGGGACCUGGGGCAUUUGAUCUCUACGGGCUAUAUUACCUACCAUUUGACAGCGAUCACAUGACUUACAAAACACAUAGGCAUCUCUAAACAAUGAAGGCCAAUAAAAUCCACUUUCUAAAACCUUAUGAGCAGUUCUCUUAGGUCCAAAAUGACCUCCACAGGCAAAAGUAUGACAAAAAGCUAAAAUUGAUUGAAAUUCCAUUUCACUUACACAUCUCCUCAUCACUUGAUCGGCACACCUCUUCCAUAGGUACGGGUCAUCCCAGAUAAAAUACUUGGCAUCGCUCUUCAAUUUAUCCCUCUUCGAUUUCGGCCAACCUGCAGGAAAAUUACCAGUUACCAAAUAAUUGACCAAAUCAGCAUACCAAGGCAACUGAGAAUUUAAGAAAAAUAGGUAUUCUUCGGGGAAUGCAUCCUUCAAUGGCUCGCUAUCCUCUUCAACUAGUAUGCGACUCAAAUGGUCCGCUACUAGAUUUUCUGAGCCUUUUUUGUCCCUUAUCUCCAAGUCAAAUUCCUGUAGGAGCAGUAUCCACCGUAUGAGCCUCGGUUUUGCAUCUUUCUUGGUCAUCAGGUACCUCAAUGCUGCAUGAUCAGAAAAUACAAUCACUUUAGCACCUAACAAGUAUGACCUAAAUUUUUCCAAAGCAAAAAUAACUGCCAGAAGCUCCUUCUCAGUGGUGGAAUAAUUCAACUGGGCUCCAUUCAAGGCCCGGGAUGCGUAAUAGAUGACAUGAGCCGCCUUGCCUAUUCUUUGCCCCAGUACAGCCCCAACAGCGUGAUCACUGGCAUCGCACAUGAUCUCAAAUGGCAAAUUCCAAUCGGGGGGUUGGAUGAUUGGGGGUGAAGUCAGCAAUUCCUUCAGCUUGUUAAAGGCUCUCUCACACUUAUCAUCAAAUUCGAAGGCUACAUCUUUUUGUAGGAGUUGGAACAACGGGGCUCCAAUCUUUGAAAAAUCCUUGAUGAACCUUCGAUAAAAACCUGCAUGUCCAAGAAAAGAGCGCACCUCCCGCACACUCGCGGGGUAAGGUAAUGCAGAAAUAAUGUCUAUUUUAGCCUUGUCAACUUCUAUGCCCUUAGACGAUACAAUAUGACCCAGGACUAUUCCGUGCUCAACCAUAAAAUGACAUUUUUCCCAAUUAAGCACAAGAUUAGUCUCUAUACACCUGAUCAGGAUUAAUUUCAGGUUAUCUAGACAAGUAUCAAAACUAUCACCAUACACACUGAAAUCAUCCAUGAAAACUUCUAUUAUUUUCUCAACAUACUCGGAAAAGAUGCUUACCAUACAUCUUUGGAAAGUCGCAGGUGCAUUGCACAACCCAAAUGGCAUUCGUCUGUAGGCAAAGGUCCCGAACGGGCACGUGAAGGUUGUCUUCUCUUGAUCCUCCGGGGCAAUUGCUAUCUGAAAGUAUCCUGAAAAUCCAUCCAAAAAGCAAUAAUAAGCCCUACCAGCUAAACGUUCAACCAUUUGGUCAAUGAAAGGGAGAGGGAAAUGGUCCUUUUUGGUGACGGCGUUUAGCCUACGGUAAUCUAUACAUUGCCUCCAUCCAGUGGGUUUGCGCACUGGCACGAGCUCACCAGUUUGGUUGGCCUCUACCGUCACUCCUGCAUUCUUUGGGACUACCUGGACCGGACUCACCCAAGGGCUAUCAGAUAUUGCAAAAAUGAUGCCCACAUCUAGCAAUUUUAGAAUCUCUUUCUUUACGACUUCCAUCAUGAGGGGAUUGAGCCUUCUUUGAGCCUGCCUAACAGGUUUGGCAUCGUCUUCCAGCCUAAUCCGGUGCAUACAAAUGGCCGGGCUGAUCCCCUUAAUGUCUGCGAUUGUCCAGCCUAUUGCCUCUUUAUGCUCCCGAAGGACCCGGAUCAAUUUCUCUUCCUGGGUCUUUGACAGUGCCGAUGAGAUAAUCACUGGGAGUGUCUCAUUAUCACCUAGGUAUGCGUAUUUCAGGUGCUCUGGUAGAGGUUUCAACUCCAGUACAGGUGCCUGCACCACAGAUGGCAAUACCCUCUGGUGAGCCUUGGGAGUAAAAAUAGGUAAGACUUCAUACCUUUUCGUGGUGGUCUGCAACGAGUGUAAUGCACCUAUUGUGCAUUUUAAAUCCUCGCUCCACUCCACCUCAGGAGUUGUCUCCAACUCGAGGUGCUUGGUUAAAGCCACCUCCAGCUCAUCCCUGCCAUCAGUUUCAAACACUUCCUGCACUACAGGGUCAAUAGCACUCACAGAAAAAACUGAGCUAAAGUUGGAGUUAGAGGGGUACUUCAUAGUAUCAAAAAUAUUAAAAUGCACAAUUUACCCAUCAAACUCCAUGGACAAGGUACCCUUAUUAACAUCAAUUUUCGUCUGCGCAGUGCUCAUAAAAGGUCUACCCAAUAACAAAGGUGAGGGAUCAGGGGAGUGAUCAUCAUCCAUAUCUAGUACAUAAAAAUCAGCUGGAAACACCAAAUCAUUAACCUUUACCAACACAUCUUCAAUCAACCCAUCAGGAUAUGCAUUAGUUCGGUCAGCUAAUUGAAUAAUUAUUCCAGUUUCUUUUAAUGGACCUAGUUUCAAAGAAGCAUAGAUAGAUUUAGGCAUGACAUUAAUUGAUGCUCCCAGAUCCAGCAUGGCCCUUCUGAUCACAGUAUUACCUAUCUUACAGGGAAUAGUAAACAUACCUGGGUCCCCGCACUUUGGUGGGAGCUUUCUCUGCAGGACCGCAGACACAUUUUCUCCAACUAUGACCCGUUCAUCUCCCCUCAACCGCCUUCGGUUGACACACAAGUCCCUUAGGAACUUGGCAUAUUUUGGUACUUGUUUGAUGGCGUCUAAGAGGGGGAUAUUUAUCUCAACCUUGCGAAAAACCUCCAAGAUCUCCUUCUCCUUAUCCUGCUUCUUCGAUUUUUCCAACCUGCUAGGAAAAGGAGGCGGGUUAGUUUUAACUGUAAUUAUUGGGUCAGGAAGUACCUCUGGAUCUGCACCAUUGCUGUCCUCCCUUUCGAGCUCAUUUUCGAUCUUCUCUUCAUCCUUGUCCUUGGGAAUCACAGGUUCAGGCCCCUGAAUUUCUUUCCCACUCCUUAGGAUCAUUGCGCUCACGUUCUUCGGAUUCAACUCCGGUUGAGAUGGCAGCUUCCCUUGGUUCUGGGACUCCCAACGGUUCAUUCUGGUGGCCAAUUGACCUAUCUGAUUCCUUAUGUCCUGCAUUUCGGAGUCCGUCUUUUGCUGAUUUUGCAUAAUAGCUGCCUCCGUCCUUUGCUGAUUCUGCGCCAUGGUUGUCAUCAUUUGUUUCAGCAUCUCAUCCGUAGAUGAACCAGAUUGAGGGAGCGGAGGUGGUCGGGGUUGGUAUUGCUGCUGGUACCCUGGUGGCUUAUUUGGCACAAAGUUAGACUGCCUGUUUGGCGUGAAGUUGGAUUGCCUAUUUCCACCAUAACUGAGGUUGGGAUGAUCUCUCCACCCGGGGUUGUAGGUGCUUGAGUAAGGGUCGUACUGCUUCCUUGGCGCGGGCGCGUGGUCAGCCAUGUUCACCUGUUCCGCAGUUUCUUCCUGAAUCAUUGGGCACAUGUCUGCAGAGUGACCUAUACCAGUGCAAAUCCCGCAUACCCUGGCUUGUGAUGCAUUUCUCACAGCCUAUUGCCUAACGAACGCAGUCAACUCAUUUAGCUGCUGCUGCACAGAGGGUGUCUCUAUCUCAUUCACCCUACGUAUUGGGACAUCCUAUCUUGUACUGAAUUGCUGUGAAUUCUCUGCCAUCCCCUCUAUUAACUCCCGUGCUUCCUGAGGGGUUUUGUUCACCAGUGCCCCUCCACUUGCAGCAUCAAUGAUGCUCCUGUCUCUAAAAAUGAGCCCCUCAUAGAAAUAUUGUAUGAUCAACUGCUCACUUAUUUGGUGAUGGGGGCACCUGCGCAACAAGCUCUUAUACCGUUCCCAAUACUCGUAAAGUGACUCCUCGGGAUGCUGCUUGAUCCCACAAAUUUCUUUCCUUAGACUCGCAGCCCUGGACGCAGGAAAAUAUUUAUCCAGAAAUUUUUUCUUCAAUUGGUCCCACGUGGUGAUGCUACCUGGUGACAGGUAGUACAGCCAGUCCUUCGCAGAAUCUUUCAAGGAGAAGGGGAAUGCCCUCAUUUUUAUCUGCUCUUCUGUGAUUCCCGGGGGUUUCAUACUGUUGCAAACGACAUCAAACUCCUGCAGAUGCUUAUACGGCUCUUCACCUGGUAAACCAUGAAAAGAGAGUAAAAGCUGAAUCAGACCAGAUUUUAGUUCAAAUGGAAUGUUGUCAUUUAAAGCUGGGAAAGUAAUGCAUAACGGCUGCUGAGUUAAAUCAGGAGCAGCCAACUCCCUUAAUGUUUAUGCAUUAGCCAUGGUGCCUUCCUGCUGGUCAGAGUCACUCGAAGUGUUACCAAACGAAUCUGUUGGUUCAACUUCUGACUCGGGUCUUUGAGAUGUAGCACUAGAGUGCUCUUCUCUGAGCUGUCUGGUUUCCUUUCUCGUUCUACGCGCGGUCUUCUCUACCUCAGGAUCAAAAACCAAAUCACCUGUGCGACAAGAUCGAGGCAUACACUAGAAGAAAACCAGAAAAUUAGGACAAAAUUGAAUUUAAGAAGAAACAAAUAAUAACGCCAGUCCCCGGCAACGGCGCCAAAAAUUGACAGGUCGUCAACCUGUGCAAUAAUAAAAUUAAACCUAAUUGCCAGUUAAAAUGACCAAAACCCAAUUCCAAGUACUGGAGCAGGGACUCUAGGUGUGCAAUGGGUUACUUGAUUCACCCUGUUCCCGAAGAGUUUGCUUGAUCCGAUAUACCCGAAUGGAAUGGUUAUUCCUUUUCACAAAUGAUUAGGAAUUUGUAGACAGGGCAAGUAGGGUCGUAUCCACAGAGACUGGGUAUAUUUGUUUCUUAAGAAAUCCAAAGUAACACAGGGGGUGAUUUUGUAGGAACGACGAUAAUUAAAUAAAUUCAAAUGAGAAAGUAAAAAUAAAUAAUUAACUAGAAAUUAAACCACAAUUUACUGAACUCAGGAUAACAAUAGUUAAAGGCCUCAAUUAAUUAAAAUAAGGAAACAAUCAAAAAUAAAAUAAAGUAGGUAAUUAAAAGUCAAAUGGCAAUCCACUACAAUCAAGGAAAUAUUAACUAAAGAUCUAGCCAAGAAAUAACUUCAGCAAUGGUUCACCUAAUCGAUCAUUGAUGCAAAGCAAUCCCAAUUAUUUACUAAUAAAUAGGUUAUAACUACCAAACAAGCGAUGGCAGUCAACCCCUCCUUACUGUGUCGGUGAUCAAGGUACGCCCGUUAAUCACUGCUCUAAUUGAGAAAUAAUCCUAGGUACGCCCGUAGAAUUUAAUUCCCCAACUGCCUUACGUAUUAGAGGAGCCCUAUUCUACCCAAAUAACACACUACCAGGGUUAUUUUAGAUUAGCCCGCGUAUCCCCCUGACACGAAUCUAAUCGUGCCAGUUGUCACUAAUUUGAGGUAAUUAAACAAUUACGGAUUCAAUACCCCAAUUGACAAUAGAUUAUCAAACCAAUGAAUUAUCCGGAUCCAAGACAAUCAACUAAUUAAAUAAUCAUAAGCACUGCAACCAAGGAAUAUGCGAAUACCAAUAAAUAAAGGAAAAGAUAAAAUUAAAUCGAUCUCACAAUUUACAGGUGAUCCAAAGCAUCAGUCGUUUCUUGACUAGAACGAGGGGGUUAGCUCAUAUUGGAUGAACUAAGCCCGCGGGAAAUUCCAGCAAAAGUCACGGCCGUUGUAUGCAUUUCAAGAGCCGCAAUUCGUCAAACACUUGGAAAGCGAAUGUAAGGCACGGGUAACAAUUGAAGCUUUCUAAUUGUUCCUAGCAUUCGUAAAGCAAAUUCACUCCAGAAGUACAGUGAGGAAAAGUCAAAGAAAGUGGGCUUCAAUUCCUUGCUCCUGACAUGCGUGGAGACAAGCCAAUGCAAGACUACAAUAAACUAACAAGGAAAAGUCAAGAAUUGGAGCUAAGCUCCCCUGCCAUGCGCAGGAAUCCGAAAAGUAAAAAGUAAAGCUUCAAAGAAAAGUCAACAAUUCUUCCUAAGCUACAGACGGAAGAUCCAGCACAAAAGCCAGCUCCCUUUUUUAUCCCUUUUUCCCCCUUCUUAUUGCGGCGGCUCACCAGGAGAGGAGAGCCCUCCGUCCGUCCUUUCUUCCGAAAAUUACCAAAAUGGGCAUGACAUCUUCUCUUCCAAAAGUGCCCCUGGGACAAGCUUUCUCAUCUGAAUUCUUUUUUUUUCCAAUUUGGCACCUGUUAUCAUAUUUAUAUUCUACUCCCUGAAAUAAACGUCAAAUACUAAAAGUGAGUAGAAUCCAGCAAAUAAAUCCACAUCAAGUCAGGUAAUAGGAGGAAUUAAUAAUAAAAUAAAUGAAUAAAUUGCACCCUAUCAGAAAAAUGCAAAAAUUUGUUAUUUAUCAUUAAGGAUCAUAUCGCAUAUAACAUCAAAAAAUAGUAUAUUAUUUAUAUCUUUCACUUAAUAUAAUAUCCAAAUUACUCUUUUCAGUUACAUACCCAUUGUUAGACAAAAUCAACAACAAAUAACCAAAAAAUUUGCAACCAAAAUAUUACCAAAAAAAUAAACUUUAACAUCAUAAAUAUUUUUAUCAACAUAUUAAAGUUAGUUAUUGAAAUUUUUAUGGUGUUAAACUUCACUCUUAGCAAUAUUUUGGUUACAGAUUUUUUUGAUUAUUUAUUGUUGAUCGUGUUUGACAAUGGAUUUGUAACUGAAAAGAAUAAUUUGAAUCUUACAUUAAGUGAAAUAUAUAAAAUAUUAUACUAUUUUUUAUGGCAUAUGUGAUUCUUUUUUUUUUUUUUAUCAGAACGGCAACAUUGUAUUAAUAGUAAACCAAUUACAGUAUAGGUGGGCAACCGCCCUCACAAUCUGCCUGGACUUGUUCCAGCAGCCAAACUGGGAAGUUUUCCUUCCAUUCAGUAUUUUGUUCCAAAGUAAUAGCUACUUUAGCUAGUUUAUGGCUAACAAAGUUGUUCACCCUAUUUGCAAAGGUAAAACAACAUUCAUCAAAUUUUAUUCAUGUACAAUUGUUGCUAUCACCACGUCCUCCUCCUCCUCCUCACUGCACACUACUUGACUACCACCCUUCGCCAACCUUGCUGUUGCAUGUGCAACUAUCAUGGCCUCUCUUAGCGCCUUUGCUUCUUCGACCUUUGGACUGGCACAGCUAAAAUUUGGAACAGCCCAGGCCCACCCGCAAUCUUCCCAACCAAUCCCUGGCCACCCUUUUCCCACCCAGCUUCUAUGGCAUGUGUGAUUCAAUCCUUCUUGAUAGGAUUGGUAAUAGAGGCAGAGGGGGGAGCCGGCUGCAUCCGGUCUACUUUUCAUAGAUAGUACAAUAUUGCGAAAUCGAUCGCAUUCACACAAGAAUAUUUCGAAGUCAUUGCAUCGCUAAGUUGCAAAAAAGUACAAACACUUGUUAUUAUAUAGCUUAAGAUUCAAAACUUUAGAGCACAACCCUCCACCUAACACAAUUGAAUAAUGAAUAUUCACGAUUGUCAAAUCUGUCAAAGCACAGUUUGAGGACAACCCAUUCCAACCUGCAAAAGAUUUUUGACUUUUUUAAAGUUGUUGAGAGCUGUAAAAAGACUUACCAUGCUUACAUCUUCCGAGCCUUGGGAGUUAAAAAUGAAGGCACUGAGUGCUAUAAAAAGGGGGCUAGAGGCUGCCUAGAAGCAUAUCAGCCUAAAACAAGAAUUUGUAGUUAUGAUGGGAAGCAAAGCAAAAGCAAUGGGGUCUGGGCUGACUCCUCUUCUUACCACUGUUUUAGUGGUAUUUGUUGCUCUUGGCUUGCCCUCAGAAACUGCAGCUGAUGAUCACUACAAGUAUUCAUCUCCUCCUCCUCCUUACCACUAUCCCUCACCACCACCUCCAGUGCAUUUACCUCCACCAGUGUACAAAUACAAGUCCCCACCACCACCUCAUCAUGUUUACAAGUACAAAUCUCCACCACCCCCACCACCACACCCAGUUUACAAGUAUAAGUCGCCACCACCACCUCCUCAUCCGGUAUACAAGUACAAGUCUCCUCCGCCACCUCCUCAUCCGGUACCACACCCAGUUUACAAGUAUAAGUCACCACCACCACCUCCUCAUCCGGUACCACACCCAGUUUACAAGUAUAAGUCUCCUCCGCCACCAGUUUACAAAUAUAAGUCUCCUCCACCACCACCUCCAGUGUACAAAUACAAGUCUCCACCACCACCAGUUUACCACUACAAGUCUCCACCACCUCCUCCCCCAGUUUACAAAUACAAGUCUCCACCACCACCACCACCAGUUUACCACUACAAGUCACCACCACCUCCUCCCCCAGUUUACAAAUACAAGUCUCCACCACCUCCUCACCACUACUAAGCAAUUGCUUCUGAGGUAAUAACACUUGUUCAAUAUACCCACUUCUGCAUGAUAAAGCAUAUCUCUAUCAACACAAACUGUCAUGUCUAUCAUGCUAAGUGCCUUCACUUCAUCCACCAAAAUGACUGCUAGAAAAUUUUUUUUAUGUUACCAAAGAAAGGCAUCAUUUUUUCCCUCUGUUAUCAAGAACUUGUACAGUAUAUAGAUUAAAGAGUAUUUUUUUAACUAGCUUAUCAACUGAGAAAUGCAUAUAGCUGAUAGCCAGCUGAAUAUUUGCAGGCAAAGGAGAAGGAAACCAGUGUUUGAGACCUUCUUGAAGAUGUAGAAGCAUAAGAAUUAAAGCCCAAUGUGAAGAUGAUGAUUUCAAGUUUUUCUACGUUACCAUUUCUUUAUCUAAAUUGGUUGUAGCGCCUUAGUUCCUUUGUUUAUGGGAUUUGUAUCGUUUUACGUACCAUGCAGUACAUGUCAUGUUUGUAAGGUUUUCUAUCCUGCCGGCAAACCGCAGGUUCCAUGUAAUAAAUCAAUACUAUUUAUAUUACGACACUUUUCUCUGUUUCUCUUAUAUUUUGUCGUCUUUAAUAUUCUUAAUCAUAUUUUUAACAAAAAUAUUCAAACACUUAGGCAAUCUGGUCUAAUGCUAAUUGUAUGUUUUACUUUUCUUUUUCACCUGCUCCCCUUUUCAACUCAAAAGGAUGCAAUAGUUUGUGAUCACUGUUGAAGACGGAAGCAUGAUACUAAUGAAUAUAUCAUUGAAACUCAAGGAAACUAACAUUAUGAAAAGUGUAAAUCUUGAUUUGAUGCAACUAUUUAUUCGUGGAAUCUAUAGUUACAAAACUCAAACUCUGACUGCGCCAUUGAUAAAUUAUUAAUGACGCUAUCAUCAUUAUUUAUCCCCAACUAGUUUCGACUACAACUGAACCCAAUAUUUUCCCCAUGAUAAAAGUUUUUUACUAUUUUACUGGCCUCUCUUCAAAUUUUAAAAAUUACACUAAUCUUCAUUGAGAUUAAUUAUCUUGUAGCAUUUAAGUCCAAUUAAUAAUUAAAAAAUAAUAUUAUGAGAGAGAAAAUAAUAUAAUUUUAUCAUUGCCCCCCAUCUUGCUAUAUUAUUUAAUUAAUUUAAUAGCAACCCACACAUUAAAGAAAAAUACUAAAAUUUGCUGCUUUUCAUUAAAGAUCAAAUUGCAUAUGCCAUAAAACAUAGUAUAUCAUUCUAUAUGUUUCACUUAAUGUAAGAUCCCAAUUGUUCUUUUCAAUUACAAACCCAUUGUCAAACAUGAUCAAUAACAAAUAACCAAAAAAUUUGCAACCAAAAUAUUACAAAAAAAAACUUUAACAUCAUAAAUAUUCUUACCACCUCUAGUGCAUUCACCCUCAUAAAAUAAUUCAAGACCCUACUGUCAUAAAAUGACUGAUCAACUCCUGUAAACCUAAUUUGACAACAUUUAAAUGGAGAACUUUAGCUAAAAGAAUUAUGGUCAAGCUAAAGAAAAAACCAGUUAUUUUCCAACAUAUGCAAUCAUUGAUCAGGGAAAAAAAAAAGAAGCAAAAAGACAUCUUCAAUCAUUUAAUAGCUUACAGGGCAAAUUAACCCCUAAGCGAAAACUGGUUGCUCUAGAAUCAAAAUUUUACUUUAGUUACCCAGGCAACUUUUUUUGUUGCCUUUUCUUUUUCUUUUUUGGGUAUAUAUAUAGCUCCAGUUUUGCCCCCUCUGUCAAGCUUAUAUAAUUAUUAAGAUAAUAAAAGUGCCUUUAAUAGUAUUAAUAUAUCCAUUGACUUGAGCUGUCAUCGAUCGGUUUGGGCUACUUCGAUUCCAUGAGAACAAAUGGUAAUAAAAGUACUCAGAAAAUGGGGAGUCAUGAAACCCUUUUGUUCUAUUCAUUGCUAAGAUGCUUUUCUCUAUAAAGACACUUCCUAACGAAAAUACUUUGUAGAUUUCUUUACUCCAAGUGGUGCAUGGAAAAUUAAUAUUUUCAAUUAUCAAAUAAAAUUCCCUUUUUUCGGUGUAGAUUUCAUCCAUUCAGCUGUUAACACUCCGAAUUGACUAAUCUUUUCGUUUCCAUUUUCCAACUUGCGAAUACGGCAUCUUACAUAUUGUCUGCUGAAUAUGAAUACAUAUCCCUUUUCUGAGCAGGUGCAGAGUCAUUAUCAUUUUUAUUCCCACCUAACAAAUUAGUUAAUAAUCUUUUAAAGAACAUGUUAAAUUAAUUUAUUGGUAUGAAUAGUAGUCAAAGAAGUAUGUUAAAGUUAGUAAUCUUUAAAAUAAUAUGUUAAAAUUAUUCGUACAAAUUAGCCAGAGAAGUAGCAUAAACACCGCGAUGCAAUUAAUACUUUCAAUCUCAAGGUCUCUAUUAUGGAAAUUUGCAUCGGUCAACAUACACAAAGCAUUAUUGUAUGCACGUCUCUCUAUUAUGGAAAUUUGCAUAGGUCAAUAUACACUUGGCAUAGUUGCAUGCACGUCCAAUUUUUUUUUAUUUUUAUUUUUGGUAUUUUACUUCCUGCCUUAAGUUGCCUGCAGAUGUUUGUAUUACAAAUAUAUGGUAUACUAAAUAUAUAGUAUGCACAUUAAUUUCUUUGGGUUGCUUAAGGGUAUAUUGUUAAUAAUAGGGGGUUUAACCAUAAAUUAUAACAAUGAUGAAGUAAUAUAUAUUAGAAAAUUAACACAAUUAUGAUUUUUUUUUUUGUAAAAUUCAAAUUUUAUUAAUAAGAAAUGAAAUAGGCAGUAAGCAUUUACAAACCGAAAACAAAAUCCUACAACAACUCUAGGACUCUACACCUUAUUAAAAAAAAACAUUUUGAUAGCGUUUUUCCAAAAGCAGAAGAUGGAAAAUUGCCCAUUUGUACUGGGGAGUUCGUGAUCUUUUCCUCAUUCUAGUCUACUUACAAUUCUUGGAAAAAGGAAUACUCACAUCUCAAACAACAGCCUGUUCAUCUGCAGUGUCCUGCCGAAUUCUAGAAAGUUUGGUGGCAAUGUUAAUUACAUUUCAAAAUUGACUGCUGCGAUAACUAAUUCGAUGGCUUACUACAUGGUCAACGUUUGGAUCUCUUCCUGUCCUUUUUGGAUGCACAUUUUUUUUCUCUAGGUAAUAUAUAAUCUCCCAACUCAUUUCUUUACAAAUGCACCUUUAAUCACCACCAAAAGGUGUGGACAUGAUCUUUACCCUAGAAAACUAUUCACCGACAGGCAAAUUGACGUCAGAAAUACUAAGAGGAAUUCUAGUUUCCUUCGGGUUAAUGCCAUUUUGUACCCUUCAACUGUAACUCAAUUUCUAAGCUGUAAUUUGUGACAUUAUAGUCCUUAAACUAUGAAACCCUUUCUUAUUUAAUUACAAUGGUUAAUACAAUGCCCGUGACUAGACAAGUAUGAAGCAACCAUAACAAAAAAAAAAUCCAAAAUUAGAGAAAAGAAAGAAGUUGCGACCAAAGUAUGUAUCAAGGCAUAGUAUAGAAAUAAAAGUGUCAAAAUUAAGAGUUUAGGGAUAAAAAAGAAUCAAAAUAUAGUUUAGGAAUUGAUUUGUCUCAAUUAGAGUUUAGAUGUCAACUAAGAAGAGAGAUAUAGUUGAAGGGUAGAAUAUAGAUAUAACAGUUCAAUGAUUGAUAUCAACGAGACAAUGACAACUUUGGAUUAUUACCAACCUCUUCUUGAUGGAAAAGGAAAUAGAGAAGAAAGUCGGGCCUGGUCUAAGCCUGUUUCGGAGGCAAAACAACAUUAUGAAAUCACCGGCAUUCACACAAAUAUGUCAAAGUCACCGGCAUGCUAAGUUGCAAAAUUUAUACAAACACUGAAUAUUAUAUUCUUCUCAAAAUUUUUGUUUAAGAUUUAACAAUUAGAGCACGGUACACGAAUUAGCAAUAUUAAAUAAUGAAUGUUCACGAUUGAUAAAGUUAUCAAAGUACAGUUUGAGGACAACCCAUUCCAACGUGUACAAGAUGUUUAGCCUUUGAAAAGUUAAUUAGAGAAGGUGACGAGAUUUUACUAGGCUUACAACUUCUAGGCCUUGGGAGUAAAAAGUGAAGACACUGAGUGCUAUAAAAAGGGGGCUAGAUGUUGCCUAGAAGCAUAUCAGCCUCGGACCACAUUUUGUAGCAAUGGGGAGCAAAGCAAAAGCAAUGGGGUCUAGGCUGACUCCUCUUUUUACCACCGUUUUAGUGGUAUUUGUUGCACUUGGCUUGCCUUCAGAAACUGCAGCUGAUUACGACAAGUAUUCACCUCCUCCUCCUCCUUACCAUUAUUACUCACCACCACCUCUUGUGCAUUCACCUCCACCACCGCCAGUUUAUAAGUCACCCCCACCACCUUAUCACUACUUCUCACCACCACCUCCAGUGUAUCCAUCUCCACCACCAUCUGUUUACAAGUCACCUCCACCACCUUCGCCAGUAUACAAGUCCCCACCACCACCUUAUCAAUAUUCCUCACCACCACCUCCAGUGCAUUCACCUCCACCACCACCGAUUUAUAAGUCACCUCCACCACCUCCUCCAGUUUACAAGUCCCCGCCACCACCUUACCAUUAUUCCGCACCAUCACCUCCAGUGCAUUCACCUCCACCACCACCGAUUUACAAGUCACCUCCACCACCUCCUCCAGUUUACAAGUCUCCAUCACCACCUUACCAUUAUUCCUCACCACCACCUCCAGUGCAUUCACCCCUACCACCACCGGUUUACAAGUCUCUGCCACCACCUUACCAUUAUUCCUCACCACCACCUCCUAUGCAUGCACCUCCACCACCAAUAUACAAGUCACCUCCACCACCUCCUCCAGUUUACAAGUCUCCACCACCACCUUACCAUUAUUCCUCACCACCACCUCCAGUGCAUUCACCCCUACCACCACCAGUUUACAAGUCUCCGCCACCACCUUACCAUUAUUCCUCACCACCACCUCCUGUGCAUGCACUGCCACCACCAAUUUACAAGUCACCUCCACCACCUCCUCCAGUUUACAAGUCCCCACCACCACCUUACCAUUAUUCCUCACCACUACCUCCAGUGCAUUCACCUCCACCACCACCGAUUUACAAGUCACCUUCACCACCUCCUCCAGUUUACAAGUCUUCACCACCACCUUACCAUUAUUCCUCACCACCACCACUCUUCAAUUUGGAUGUAAUUCAAUUUUCCUUGUAAUCGGUGGCCCUCCUUCGGAAUCCAAAUAGUCAUUGAGUGCAGCCUUCUUUCUUUAUUUUUUACUCAUUUUCACCUCAUAAAUUGCUUUCAUCCCCUAAAACUUGUUCGCUGGAAUUUUGAAUUUACCCAUACAACUAAACUCAGAAAAUUCUUACACAAAGGGAUUAGUAGCAUGAAUAGCAAACACAGAAUAAGAGAUAACAGUAUGUUUUAUUGUAUUAAAAAUAUUAAAGUGGAUUAUUUCUCCAUCGAAUUCCAUUGUGAGAGUAUCGUUACUAACAUCAAUCUUAGUUUGAGCAGUACUCAAGAAUGACCUUCCUAAUAUAAUGGGUGAUGGAUUUGGGACACUUUCAUCAUCCAUAUAAAACACAUAAAAAUCAACAGAAAAAAUUAAUCCAUCUACUUGAACUAAAAACAUCCUCAACUACCCCAUUUAGAUAAGCAAAUAUACGAUCAGCCAAUUGAAUUAUUAUCCCUAUUUCUUUUAAAUGUUCUAAAUUUAGGGAAUCAUAAAUUGAUUUAGACAUCACAUUAAUAGAAAUCUUUAAAUCUAUCAUGGCAUUUUUUAUAUUAGAAUGUCCAAUCUUACAUGAGAUAGUAAACAUACCUAGAUUCUCGCAUUUAGGUGGUAGUUUCCUUUGUAAAAUUGCUGAAACGUUCUCAUCUACCACAAUAUGCUUGUCCUCCUCAAUUUCUUCUUGUUGACACACAAGUUUUUCAAGCAUUUAACGUAUUUUGGAACUUAUUUGAUUUGCGUCCAACAAAGGGAUAUUGAUUGCCACCUUGCGAAAAUCUCUAAAAUCUCCUUUUCUUUAUCUUGUUUCUUUGAUUUCUCUAACCUGCUUGGAAAAGGUGGUGAGUUAGUUCCAACUCUAAUUAUAGAAUCAACAAUUACCUUUGGAUUCACAUUUCUCAUUCCUUCCUCCUCAAGCUCUUUGUCGAUUCGAUCUUCAUUUUUAUCCUUUGGAAUCACAACUUCGGAUCCCUGAAUUUUCUUCUCGCUCCUUAAGGUCAUUACACUUACAUUCUUCAGGUUCAGUUCAGGUUGAGACGACAAUUUUUCAUAGAUUUGGGAUUCCAGGCGGUUGAUUGCUAUUACCAUCUGACUCAUCUGACUCUGCAGUGCUUGCACCUGUCCCAAUUGAUUCCUCAUACUUUGCAAGUCAAAAUCCAUCUUUUGUUGAUUAGCAAUUAAUUGCUUCAUUAUCUCUUCUAUAGAUGGACUUGAGUUUGAAAGAGGUGGUGGCGGGCGAGACUGAUACUGUUAUUGAUACCCUUGCUAUCUAUUUGGUGCAAAAUCUGGCUACCUAUUUCCUCCAUAGCUGAGGUUGGGAUGAUCUCUCCAACCAAUAUUGUACGUAUUCGUGUACGAGUCGUAUGGUUUUCUUGGCACGGCGCGUGACCAGCCAUGUUCACUUGCUCCGUACUUUUCUCUUGAAUCAUUGAGCACAUCUCUGUAGAAUGACCCAUAGCAGUGCAGAUCCCACACAUCUUGACUCGUGAUGCAUUUCCUAUAGCUAAUUGCCUAACAAAGGAUGUUAAUUCGGUCAACUGCUGUUGGAUAGAAUAUGUUUCUACCUCAUUUACUUUGCGUGUUGGGGCAUCCUCCCUCGUACCAAACUGUUGCGAAUUUUCCGCCAUUCCUUCAACUAGCUCCCACGCUUCUCGAGAAGUCUUGUUCACCAAUGCCCUUCUACUUGCAGCAUCAAUUAUACUCCUGUCUCUAAAACGCAGCCCCUCGCAAAAAUAUUGGAUGAGCAAUUGCUCACUUAUUUGGUGUUGAGGGAACUUGAUGCAUAACUUCUUGAAUCGCUCCCAAUAAUCAUAAAGCGACUCUCCUGGAUGCUACUUGAUACCGUAUAUCUCCUUCCUUAGACUUGCAGCUCGAGAUGCAAGAAAAUAUUUGUCCAAGAACUUUUUCUUCAGCUGAUCCCACGUGGUGAUGCUACCUGGUGGUAGAUAGCACAGCCAGUCUUUUGCGGAGUCCUUCAAGGAGAAGGGAAAUGCCCUCAUUUUUAUCUAUUUUUCUGUAAUUCUCGGAGGUUUUAUGCUGUUGCAAACGACAUCAAACUCUUGCAAGUGCUUAUACGGUUCCUCACCUGGUAAACCAUAGAAAGAUGGCAAGAGAUGAAUUAGACCAGAUUUUAACUCAAAUGAAGUGUUAUCAUUUAAAAAUAGAAAAGUAACUGAGAUGCAGCACUGGAAUGUUCUUCUCGAAAUUGUCUGGUCUCUUUCUUUGUUCUACGCGUAGUCUUCUCUACCUUAGGAUCAAAAAUUAAUUUACCUGUACGAGAAGAACGAGGCAUACACUAGAAAAACACUAGAAAAUUAGAACAAAAAUGAACAUAAAAAGAAACAAAUAAACCAACGUCAGUCCCCAGCAACGGCGCUAAAAAUUGACAAGUUGUCGAUGCCUGUGCAAUAAUAAAAAUAAACCUAGUUACCAAUUAAAAUAAUCAGAGCCUAAUUCUGAGUACUAGAGCAGGGACUAUAGGUGUGCAAUGGGUUACUUGAUUCACCCUAUUCCUGAAGUUUGCUUAACCCGAUAUACCAGAAUGAGAUUGCUUAUUCAAAAGGAAUUAUUGAUUUGUAAACAGGGCAAGUAGGGUCGUAUCAUCAGGGAUUGAAAAAAUUUGUUUCUUUUCAAAUCCACAGUAACAAGGGGAUGUUUUUGUAUAAAUGAUAACAAUCUAAGGAGUGCAAAUAGAAAUAAAUAGAUAACUAGAAAUUAAAUGACAAUUCACUAAAAUUAGAGUAAUAAUAAUUAAAGGUCUAGCUAAGAAAUAACUUCAGCAAUGGUUCACCUAAUUGAUCAUCGACGCAAAGGCAAUUCCAAUUAUUUACUAAUAAAUAGGUUAUAACUGCAAAACAAGCAAUGACAGUCAACCCCUCCUUACUGUCGGUCGGUGAUUAAGGUACGCCCAAUCACUGCUCUAGUUGAGAAAUAAUUUUAGGGACGCUCGUAAGAUUUAAUUUUCCAAUUGCCUUACGUAUUAGAGGAGCCAUAAUCUAACCAAAUAACGCUACCAGGAUUAUUUUAAAUUAACCCGUGUAUUCCCUUGAUACAAAUUCAAUCAUGUCAGUUGUCACUAUUUCAAGGUAAUGAAACAAUUACGGAUUUAAUAUCCUAAUUGACAAUAGGUUACUAAAUCAAUUCACUAUUUCGAUCCAAGAUAAUCAAUCAAUUUAACAACUAAUAGCACUGCAAUCGGAGAAUAUGUAAAUACCAAUAAAUAAGAGGAAAAGAUAAAAUUAAAUCGAUCUCACAAUUUUUAAACAAAUCAAAGUAUCCGUUGUUUCUUGACUAGAAAAGAAAAUUUAGUUCAUUCCUAAUGUGAAAGACCCACGUGAGAAUUCAAAAAUAAUAUUCACGGAUAUUGUCUUGAUUCAAUAGAUUCAAUUGCGUUGGAAUAAGGAUAAAAAGCCAAACUAUAGAGAGUGAUUCAAUGUUUUGUUUCGUUUGCAUUUUUUCUACACAUAUGGAAGAAGAAAAACAACUAAAGGACGAAAAAAAAAAGUCAAAGAAAGGCACCCAAAGUAGUGCUUGGUCUCUACCAUCCUAUUUCCUAUCUAAUUACUACUUCCCUUCUGCGGCUGCCUAGAGGAAGAAAGAGAAAGCAGACUUCAGGUCUUGUUCCAUCUCCUCCCUUUUCGGCAAUUCCCCAAAAGUAGAAAAGUUCCUCCGUUUACCAAAAUGCCCCUGGAAUGAGGACUGCUACUUGAACUCAUUUUCUUGAUAACUGUCAAAUUAGCACUUGUUAUGGUAUUUGCGUCUACUUCCUGUAAUAAAUGUAAAUUGCCAAAAGUGAGUAAACUGAUAAUUAAUUUACAUCAGGUCAGGUAAUAGGAAAAAUUAAUUAUAAAAUAAAUGAUAAAAUUGCAACCUAUCACUUAGAAUAACCAGAAAUAAAACAAAACAAGAAAUGAAAGAAAUAAGAGGGUAGCAUAGACAUUUUGGAUUUUUCUGUUAAUUUGGAUGAUUUCCACCUACGGUCUAAUUUAAUCCAAAACACAAAUGGAUUAUGUGGAGAUUUUUAAACAAUGAGGGAGUAUCGUGACCGAAUCCCAAACCACAAAGGGGAUUUACUAUAUUUUACUCUUAAAUUUUGGUUUCAUCUCAUAGCAUACAAGAGUACUAUUUCACUGUCUGUCGACCAGGGAGGAGGGUUGGGUUGGGUGGUACGGGGGAGGGAGUCUAAGUAAGAGGUCUCAGGUUCGAAUCCUCCUGUUUAUACUAAAAAAAAAAAUUUACUAUCUGUCGACAAAGAUUUUCUAUGGUUGAUGUACCAUAGGAAAAAUCUGCCUAUACAAUUAUUUGGAAAAAUUAUCCAUCCAAACAUAGUCACGAUAGCAUUUUUUCAAAAACACUAGAUGCAAAAUUGUCCCCUUAAACGUGGAAAUUCAUGAUCUUUCCUCGACUAGUCUACUUGUCAAUUUUUGAAAAAAGAAUACUCACGCCAAAAACACGGCCUCUUCAUCUGCAGAAUUCUAAAAAGUUACGUAAACUCUAUAAACAAGUUGAUAGGUACAAUCGUACCCAAGAUCAAGUACAGAUAGUUGUACAUUCACUGCUGCAAUAACUAAUCUGAUGACUUACAAACACAUCAUGGUCAAUCGUUGAAUGGUAAUGAGUCUUUUGUUAUGCAUUAGUAUUAGUGUGUACACUCUAAUAGAUUGAUACUUAUACUCUUUAAAUUAUCAUAAUAAUACCCUUAAUUAACUUUAACCCUUAAAAAGAAUACGUGUUAAUACACGAGAGUGUGUAACCUGAAUUGUUACUUAUACAUUAGUGUGUAAUAGAACGGCAAGCAUUAUGGUGGUCAUUGAGCAACUUAUAGGAGAAAUAGUCCUAUAAGCUGUUCAAUGACCAAUCACAACUUGCUAAUUGGAUGACUAAUAUAGCUCUAGCUGUAAUGUUUUAAUUAAAUUCCACACUAACGUUGGGAUGACUUUUUAAUCAAAAAAAAAAAAGCCUUAGUUCAAGCUUUUCCCCUUAUUGUGCAUUUUUUAAAACAUUUGAUAGGCACUGCAAAUCUGUCAUUUUGGACAUUUUAUUAUUAACUAACAAUGAAAGCCGUGGACAUCAACCCAUAUCCAACAAAAUAUUAAAUUAAUAUUAGAAAAAUUAUUAAGUAAUUGGAAAAAAAAAAGAAGAGGCUAAUUUUCAUUGAAACCCACCGACAAACUAUCCGUGUCCAUAGCUUUUGAAUAGUGCAUUCAACGUUUAAUUGUAUGGUCCAGUUCAUUGCCGAUUACAUGGAGUAAAGAUUGUGCUCUUUCCUUUUUCACCCCUUUUGGAAUCGAUACUGUGGAGAAUUGGGUUUUUCCCUCCUUUUUUUCUUUUCUUUCCUUCUGUGCUUUGCAAAACAUACGUAAAAAUAUGAAAUCCGAAGCAUUCUUUAAUUGGGAUUAAGUAUUGUUGUUGAAAUUAAAAAGAAGAAAGAAAGAACAACAAAAAUCCCAAUCUGGGUUGAUUGUUGAGCUCUAGAUUGGCUGCAUCGUGCUUCCAUAGAAGUUCUCUUAGUGUGAUACGCUGCUUUCAAUCAGUUUUAAUAUUUAAGUAGAGUGCAAAAUAACUUUACUAUUUAAUGGGUUAUAAUGCACCAUUUGGUACCUCUCACCCACCUAUGAUUUGAUUUACUACUGGCAUGGUAAUGGACAGAGUUGGGGGAGCAGGAGGAGGGAGAUGGCGGUACCAGUCCGUCAACCACAGCACACCCUCCCUCGGACUUUGCGUGGUAGCGAAGUGGAGGCAGAUCGAGCACACAUGCACUAACGCCUUAAGUAUGUACAAUAUAUGUAUGCCAAAAGCAUAGCCAAGCCUACCAGCGCAUUUCAAUAAUAUAACCCGGAAAUUAAGGGCAUUGAAUUAAGUACGAUGAAUCAUAUUGGUGCACAAUUACAGUUUGAAGCUACCGAUUCGAGUAAAUUUAAGCGUAAGCACAAUCAAUCGCCAGUCAAAUGCUGAAAUAUGCAUAUGCAUGGAUGAAUGUAUGGGUUUCUUAGUUCCAGACCAAAGGCCAACAAUAAGGGAAGGAAGGACAGUUCUCAUUUUUAGCACGGACAAGGAGAUGAAGAAAAGUGUAUGUAGCUUGAGACAGAACAAUGGCAUGUGACCGCUCCUGAGACCACAUAACGUGGGGUGGGGAUGGGACGGCCAAGAAUGAAGAUGCCUGUCGGUCUCUCCGUGCUGCUACCAUAUGAAUCCCCCGUUAACCAAUUCAAGAUAAGCCUGAAGUUCUUUUCAUCCCCAAACCCUGUCCCAUCUGUGUAAAUCCAACAUCAUCAUUUACGACCUGCAACUCAGGUUAAGCAUGUUCUAUUGAGAUUCAGACACCACCCUUCAAAAGAUAUACUACUGUGAAACCAGCAGCUUAAUAUCAUUGUAUAAAAAAAAAAAAAAAAGAAAGAAGAAAAGACAUGAAAAGCAAAUUUUGUGGGGAUAAUUUCAAAAUCUCUCCUAAAGUUUUUUACUAUUUUACUGGCCUCCUUUCAAAUUUUAAAAAUUACACCAGUCUUCCUUGAGAUUAUUUAUCUUGUAACAUUGAGGUCCAAUCAAUAAUUAAAAAAUGAUAUUAUGAGAGAGAAAAAAAAUAAACUUUAACAUCAUAAAUAUUCUUAUCAACAUAUUAAAGUUAGUUACUGAAAUUUUUAUGGUGUUAAACUUCACUCUUUGUAAUAUUUUAGUUACAGAUUUUUUGAUUACUUGUUGUUGAUUUUUUUUUUUUUAGUGUAAACAGGAGGACUCGAACCUAAGACCUCUCACUUACACUCCCUCCCCCCGUACCACCCCAACCCAACCCAACCCUCCCCUCGUUGUUGAUCAUGUUUGACAAUGGAUUUGUAAUUGAAAAGAACAAUUUGGAUCUUACAUUGAGUGAAAUAUAUAGAAUGAUAUACUAUUUUUUAUGGCAUAUGUGAUUCAAUCCUUGAUGAUAAAAGCAAAUUCAAGUGUUUUCUUUAAUGUUUGUGCUGAUAUUAGAUUAAUUAAAUAAUUUAGUAGAUGAAGGAAAAUGGUGAAAUCAUAUUAUCUUCUCUUUCCUAAUAUCACUAUUUAAUUAUUGAUUGAACUUAGAUAUUACAAAUAAUAAAUCUCAAGGGAGAUUAGUAUAAUUUUCAAAUUUUGGAGAGAAGCUAAUGAAAUAGUCAAAAACCUUAAGGGAGGUUUACAAAAUUAUCCCAAAUUUGUGGGAAUUAGAAUAAUUGUACUGGACGGCACUGCCGCAACAGAGGGAAAGAGGAGGAGGUGCAGUUAACUUUUUGUUGUUUGAAAUCCUUGGUGAAAUAUUACAGAAAGACAGAUAAAACAGUUAGUACAUAGAUGUAUAUGACAGGGAAAAUGGUACGUCUGUUAAUCACAUUUGAAACACUUUCAUUGGUGAAUGACGAAAACUAUCAGGCUUGCCCAAUAGUUGAUCAUUGACCAAGACAAAUCUUGCCAUGCUAGAGGUACCAUCUUUUCGUACCUCUUUAGUGCACAGGACAUUCCUUUGUUUCAUCUAGCUAAUAAUCUACCAACUCAUUUCUUUGCAAAUGCACCUUUUAUGGUCACGUCUACGAAAGCUUUACAGGAUCUUUACCCAAAAAAUCAAUUCACCGACUCGCAUUUGAUGUCAAAAUUUCUUUACUUUACUCCAAGAUUGACUGUUAAUAAUAAUGCCACUUUGAAUUAUCACACCAUCCUUCUUGAUAGGAUUUGUGCUAGAGGUAGGGAGGGAGUCGCUGCAGCCGGUCUUCUCUUCAUAGACAGUACAAUAUUGCGAAAUCGAUCGCAUUCACGCAAUAUUAUAUUUCCAAGUCGUUGCAUGGGUAAGCUGCCAAAAAGUACGAACACAUGUUAUUAUAUAGCUUAAGAUUCAAAACUUUCGAGCAUAACCCUCCACCUAACACAAUUGAAUAAUGGAUAUUCACGAUUGUCAAAUCUGUCAAAGUACAGUUUGAGGACAACCCAUUCCAACCUGCAAAAGGUUUUUUUACUUUUCUAAAGUUGUUGAGAGCUGUUAAAAGAUUUACCAUGCUUACAUCUUCCGAGCCUUGGGAGUUAAAAAUGAAGGCACUGAGUGCUAUAAAAAGGGAAUAGAGGCUGCCUAGAAGCAUACCAGCCUAAAACAAGGAUUUGUAGUUAUGAUGGGAAGCAAAGCAAAAGCAAUGGGGUCUGGGCUGACUCCUCUUCUUGCCACUGUUUUAGUGGUGUUUGUUGCUCUUGGCUUGCCCUCAGAAACUGCAGCUGAUGAUCACUACAAGUAUUCAUCUCCUCCUCCUCCUUACACUAUCCCUCACCACCACCUCCAGUGCAUAUACCUCCACCUCAUCCUGUUUACAAGUACAAAUCUCCACCACCCCCACCACCACACCCAGUUUACAAGUAUAAGUCACCACCACCACCUCCUCAUCCGGUACCACACCCAGUUCCUCAUCCGGUGCCACACCCAGUUCCUCAUCCGGUGCCACACCCAGUUUACAAGUAUAAGUCACCACCACCACCUCCUCAUCCGGUACCACACCCAGUUCCUCAUCCGGUACCCACACCCAGUUUACAAGUAUAAGUCACACCACCACCUCCUCAUCCGGUACCACACCCAGUUUACAAGUAUAAGUCACCACCACCACCUCCUCAUCCGGUAUACAAGUAUAAGUCUCUCCGCCACCAACACCCAGUUUACAAGUAUAAGUCACCACCACCACCUCCUCAUCCGGUGCCACACCCAGUUUACCACUACAAGUCACCACCACCACCUCCUCAUCCGGUACCACACCAGUUUACCAUACAAGUCACCACCAAUCCUCACCCAGUUUACAAAUACGAGUCUCCACCACCUCCAGUUUAUAAGUACAAGUCACCACCACCUCCUCCACCAGUUUACAAGUAUAAAUCUCCUCCACCACCACCACCAGUUUACCACUACAAGUCUCCACCACCUCCUCCCCCAGUUUACAAAUACAAGUCUCCACCACCUCCUCACCACUACUAAGCAAUUGCUUCUGAGGUAAUAACACUUGUUCAAUAUACCCACUUCUGCAUGAUAAAGCAUAUCUCUAUCAACACAAACUGUCAUGUCUAUCAUGCUAAGUGCCUUCACUUCAUCCACCAAAAUGACUGCUAGAAAAUUUUUUUUAUGUUACCAAAGAAAGGCAUCAUUUUUUCCCUCUGUUAUCAAGAACUUGUACAGUAUAUAGAUUAAAGAGUUUUUAUUUUAACUAGCUUAUCAACUUAGAAAUGCAUAUAGCUGAUAACCAGCUGAAUAUUUGCAGGCAAAGGAGAAGGAAACCAUGUUUGAGACCUUCUUGAAGAUGUAGAAGCAUAAGAAUAAAAGCCCAAUGUGAAGAUGAUGAUUUCAAGUUUUUCUACGUUACCAUUUCUUUAUCUAAAUUGGUUGUAGCGCCCAAGUUCCUUUGUUUAUGGGAUUUGUAUCGUUUUACGUACCAUGCAGUACAUGUCAUGUUUGUAAGGUUUUCUAUCCUGCCGGCAAACCGCAGGUUCCAUGUGAUAAAUGAAUACUAUUUAUGUUACGACACUUUUCUCUGUUUCUCUUAUAUUUUGUCUUUAAUAUUCUUAAUCAUAUUUUUAACAAAAAUAUUCAAACA
Molecule: long non-coding RNA, 40301 nt
Filed under: Coffea arabica (coffee)
Lineage: Eukaryota; Viridiplantae; Streptophyta; Magnoliopsida; Gentianales; Rubiaceae
Description: long non-coding RNA (CARA_LNC007267)
Rfam family: Plant small nucleolar RNA R71 (bases 32488-32594)
Source: RNAcentral